This 459-nucleotide ribosomal RNA is filed under the name uncultured bacterium. Its description in RNAcentral is "partial 16S ribosomal RNA". It matches the Rfam family "Bacterial small subunit ribosomal RNA", at positions 338 to 795 of the family's 1533-position model. The record is from RNAcentral.
CCUACGGGAGGCAGCAGUGAGGAAUAUUGGACAAUGGGCGAGACCCUGAACCAGCGACGUCGCGUGAGUGACGAAGGUCCUCUGGAUUGUAAACCUCUUUUGCCGGGGAGAAAAGGCGCCCACGGGUGGGCGGAUGAGUGUACCCGAAGAAAAAGCAUCGGCUAGCUCCGUGCCAGCAGCCGCGGUAAUACGGAGGAUGCAAGCGUUAUCCGGAUUUAUUGGGGUAAAGGGGUCCGCAGGCGGACAGUCAAGUCAGAGGUAAAAAUGCGGUGCUCAACGCCGUACAGCCGUUGAAACUGGGAGGCUUGAGUGCGCGAGAAGUAUGCGGAAUGCGUGGUGUAGCGGUGAAAUGCAUAGAUAUCAGGCAGAACUCCGAUGGCGAAGGCAGCAUACCGGCGCCCUACUGACGCUGAGGCACGAAAGCGUGGGUAUCGAACAGGAUUAGAUACCCUUGUAGUC